This 479-nucleotide ribosomal RNA is filed under the name uncultured bacterium. RNAcentral's name for it is "partial 16S ribosomal RNA". It matches the Rfam family "Bacterial small subunit ribosomal RNA", at positions 28 to 507 of the family's 1533-position model. The record is from RNAcentral.
GAUGAACGCUGGCGGCGUGCUUAACACAUGCAAGUCGAACGAGGUGUUUAUUCAAAGUUCUUCGGGAUAGAGAAUAAAUUACUUAGUGGCGGACGGGUGAGUAACGCGUGGGUAACCUGCCUCACACAGGGGGAUAACAGUUGGAAACGACUGCUAAUACCGCAUAAGACCACAGCACCGCAUGGUGCAGGGGUAAAAGAUUUAUCGGUGUGAGAUGGACCUGCGUCUGAUUAGAUAGUUGGUGGGGUAGAAGCCUACCAAGUCAACGAUCAGUAGCCGACCUGAGAGGGUGAUCGGCCACAUUGGGACUGAGACACGGCCCAAACUCCUACGGGAGGCAGCAGUGGGGAAUAUUGGACAAUGGGGGAAACCCUGAUCCAGCAACGCCGCGUGAGUGAAGAAGUAUUUCGGUAUGUAAAGCUCUAUCAGCAGGGAAGAAAAUGACGGUACCUGACUAAGAAGCCCCGGCUAACUACGUG